Molecule: long non-coding RNA, 1483 nt
Organism: Rhagoletis pomonella (apple maggot)
Lineage: Eukaryota; Metazoa; Arthropoda; Insecta; Diptera; Tephritidae
Exons: 2
Source: RefSeq, a predicted model, not a curated record
UACCAAACUGGUAUAAGGCAAUCCAGAAAUGCUUCAACGAAAACAUUGAAACAUUUUGAGGAUCGAGUUUGUAGUUGUCUUUCGGUAACCCAAGUUUUAAUUGAAUCGAAUGCAAAAAACUUUGAUCUUUUACCGCCGAUUGAAAAGCAGUAACACCGCCGACGCGCACCAAACGGGAGGAUCUUUACGCCCUGCAUCAUUCUGUCUCCUAGGCAGACAAUUGUCUAACAAAGGGCGGAAUUUUUGUGAGGAUGAUGGAUCCGGGAAUAGUUUUGGCGAAUGUUUACCCUUGUUAGGGUUAUUGCAGUAUUUAGCUCUUAGACCGACCUAGUUAUUUAUAAAAAGGCUGAGUUGACAUAAAAGAUUAAAAAUUGAAAAAAGCACGAAAACUAAUACGCUGUGAUAAAAAAAAAGUUUAGACAAGUUUUGACAACCUAAUAUGUAGAAUUCGGAAAAUAAUGGGACAUAACAGUGGUUUUCGUUCCCCAAAUUUUCUAGAAAGAACUGGUAAGACUGUCAAAAACCAAAAUCGUUCUCACAGAAGCAGAGGAAAACUAAGAAGUACGGCAACGCUUUUGUUUUGGUUUACUGAACACUGAUAUUGCUUUGUUAAUACAGAACAGCUGAUGGCUGACUUUAUCAGAUUUUAUCAGCAAAAAUUGAUCGGGUAAAAUCUUGCAACUUCUGGCGAAGAGGGAACCUCAUUUACUCUCUCAUUUGUUGUCAAAUGUGGCAGAUAGUCGAAUACAGGAACGCUUUCUGCACGGCCGAGGAAAUCCUACGCAGAAACAAAUUCGGCGCAACAAUACUGUGGACUGUGUAGCUGGAGUUGGAUUGAUUAGGUUUAUUUUUUUAUACCUAUACCGGUAUAUCCUAUCGCCAGUUUGCCCGAAAAUCGGGUUUGGCUGGUAACAUUUAUUUUAUUUGUUUUGGUUGUGACACUGAAGAUUGCACAACGCCGUUAUGGCUGCAUGAUUAGAGGUGCGUACUACUAAUCUGUAGGACCUGAGCUCUAUCCCUGGUACAGCCAACAUCUAAAUUAGAAAAAGAAAAGGCAGGCGAGGCCAAACCUGCGAGAAAAAUCUUAUCAUAAAUUAAUUUUAUCAAAUAGCUCGAUGACGGAUAUUUUCCCAACAAUGGGCCGUAUGAUUAAAAAAUAAGCAAUUGCUUUUUCUUAAAAUUUCAGGCCUUUUACUCGAUUUAUGGCGGAUUCAUCAUUCUACAUAGUUCUGAACUUUUUCUUCCAUGUCGUUGUUGUUGCGUUUCUCUCACAAAGAGAGAACUAAAACGAUGAAUUCGCCUUUAUCCAAAAAAAAAUUGAAGUAAAAGGUAUGGCAUUUUAAGAAAAGGCAAUUGCUUAGUUUUUAUUCAUACGGUCCAAUAUUAAAAAAAAAAACAUAUCGAUCCCUAAACGCCAAAAAGCUGUUAGCGAGAUUUUUUCAAAAUUUUCUAUUUGAUGCAGAAAUGUUCCUAGAGCAUUUUU